This 390-nucleotide ribosomal RNA is filed under the name uncultured Pseudomonas sp. RNAcentral describes it as "bacterial SSU rRNA". It matches the Rfam family "Bacterial small subunit ribosomal RNA", at positions 993 to 1382 of the family's 1533-position model. Lineage: Bacteria; Pseudomonadati; Pseudomonadota; Gammaproteobacteria; Pseudomonadales; Pseudomonadaceae. The record is from RNAcentral.
GAACUUUCCAGAGAUGGAUUGGUGCCUUCGGGAACGUCUGACACAGGUGCUGCAUGGCUGUCGUCAGCUCGUGCGUGAGAUGUUGGGUUAAGUCCCGUAACGAGCGCAACCCUUGUCCUUAGUUACCAGCACGUUAUGGUGGGCACUCUAAGGAGACUGCCGGUGACAAACCGGAGGAAGGUGGGGAUGACGUCAAGUCAUCAUGGCCCUUACGGCCUGGGCUACACACGUGCUACAAUGGUCGGUACAAAGGGUUGCCAAGCCGCGAGGUGGAGCUAAUCCCAUAAAACCGAUCGUAGUCCGGAUCGCAGUCUGCAACUCGACUGCGUGAAGUCGGAAUCGCUAGUAAUCGUGAAUCAGAAUGUCACGGUGAAUACGUUCCCGGGCCUU